Non-coding RNA from Caretta caretta (loggerhead turtle), 547 nucleotides. NCBI's taxonomy places the organism in Eukaryota, Metazoa, Chordata, Testudines, Cheloniidae. The record is from RefSeq and is a predicted model, not a curated record.
GGAGAGAGCAAUCAGCUGGGAAGGAACAGGAAAAGCCUCUGUGCAGAGGACAGGAACAGUGUGUGGGGAUCCAGGCAAACUUCUGGAGUCUCUUCUUGAUGGUAGUGCCCUAACAUGACUACACCAUUAUCCAUGGGGGACAAGGGCAGUGAGAGGUUCACUGGAGGCAGCUGCUGGUUACUUUCUUGGAGAACUAGACGCAGAAAUCACUAUAGAGGAAGUUUCUAAAGUGCUUGAGAUAGCUGAUGUAUAGAUCCACACCAUGGGUACGGGCCAGAUAGAAGUGGGCAGGGAAAGCCCAGCAUUGAUUCUCCAAUGCUGCUUUUACAGAGUGAAAACUCUCUCUGCCUAUUAUGGCAGCAAUCUUGAAAGGAUCAUUAAACUUAUGUUUACAACUCAGAAUGGCCCAGUGUCACCAGCCUUUUUGAAAACUUGUUUCCAGAUGUCAAAAAUGUUGUCCACAUGCUAGCUAUUGUGCAAAAAAUGGAAGAGUGAGAGACUGCUUGCUGCUCUAUCAAUGACUUCAACUGUCACAGAAAAAAGCUGA